AGAGUUUGAUCCUGGCUCAGAAUCAACGCUGGCGGCGUGCCUAACACAUGCAAGUCGCACGAGAAAGAGGGGGCAACUCCUUGAGUAAAGUGGCGUACGGGUGAGUAACACGUGACUAACCUACCUCCGAAUGGGGAAUAACACCGGGAAACCGGUGCUAAUACCGCAUAACAUCUACGGAUCAAAGCAGCAAUGCGUUU
RNAcentral lists this ribosomal RNA (200 nucleotides) under uncultured bacterium. RNAcentral describes it as "partial 16S ribosomal RNA". It matches the Rfam family "Bacterial small subunit ribosomal RNA", at positions 8 to 220 of the family's 1533-position model. The record is from RNAcentral.